This 75-nucleotide transfer RNA is filed under the name Candidatus Diapherotrites archaeon CG10_big_fil_rev_8_21_14_0_10_31_34. RNAcentral's name for it is "tRNA-Glu". It matches the Rfam family "tRNA". From Rfam's summary of the family: Transfer RNA (tRNA) molecules are approximately 80 nucleotides in length. RNAcentral also lists the same sequence under 1 other name. Lineage: Archaea; Nanobdellati; Candidatus Iainarchaeota. The record is from RNAcentral.
GCUCCGGUAGUGUAGUCCGGUUAAGCAUAGUGCCCUCUCAAGGCAUUGACCCGGGUUCAAAUCCCGGCCGGAGCA